UACGGAGGGUGCAAGCGUUAUCCGGAUUCACUGGGUUUAAAGGGUGCGUAGGUGGGCAGGUAAGUCAGUGGUGAAAUCUCCGGGCUUAACUCGGAAACUGCCAUUGAUACUAUCUGUCUUGAAUACCGUGGAGGUUAGCGGAAUAUGUCAUGUAGCGGUGAAAUGCUUAGAUAUCGUCAAGAACACCUAUAGCGAAGGCAGCUUACUAGGCUGUAACUGACGCUGAGGCACGAAAGUGUGGGGAUCAAACAGG
RNAcentral lists this ribosomal RNA (253 nucleotides) under uncultured bacterium. Its description in RNAcentral is "partial 16S ribosomal RNA". It matches the Rfam family "Bacterial small subunit ribosomal RNA", at positions 524 to 776 of the family's 1533-position model. The record is from RNAcentral.